Molecule: long non-coding RNA, 7403 nt
Organism: Lytechinus pictus (painted urchin)
Lineage: Eukaryota; Metazoa; Echinodermata; Echinoidea; Temnopleuroida; Toxopneustidae
Exons: 3
Source: RefSeq, a predicted model, not a curated record
AGAGAGCUAUUGUAUUUUUCCAAUAGUGUGUCUGGCAAGUCUGAAUGGCGUGAAUGCUGAAAGAACAUCAAGAAGGAUGCCACUGACGACUUCAUGAUUUAAACAGCGGAUUUCAGACAGAUUUCUUUCCUGAUAUCACUUCGUAUGAGAAACAAAAUGAUGGGAACUACGACAAGUCAUUUGGUGAUCAUUAACGCCUUAAUUAAACUGGUGUCAACCAAGAUGGAUAAAUAUCCUGAGUCACAAAUGGAAGUGGAUCCAAAGUAGGCUCGAGUACACAUCACCAUCUAUGCGGCCUGGUCAGAUCAGCGAAGAAUGGAACGGGUUUUCAUCGGGAGAUGAUGGCGGGUCAGGUGGACAGGAGAAUCUUGCUUGGACAGCAUCUGCAGAUCUGCAUGUGAUUAUAUCUUACGCACAAGAAUCAACCCGGUGUCGACAAAGACAUGGUGGCCAACGAUCAGUGACCACUUCAUGCAUCAUGAGCCACAAACUUGAAGUGGAAUAGGCUUAGCCUCGAGUAUUGUCAUAAUCACCGUCCGUGUGGCCUGGUCAGCGAGGAAGGGAACAUUAUUUUCAUUAGGAGAUGAUUGUGAGUAAGAGAAUGUUGCUUGGAAGUCAUCCGCAUGUGAUUAUUUUACAAUGGGAUGGGUGUCUUACAUCAUUGUUGCCGUCCAAUUCGAUUUGUGGCCUGGACAGCGAGGAAGGGAACAUAUCAUUUUCAUCAGGAGAGGUUGGCGAGUAAGGUGAAUAGAAGAAUGUUACUUGGAAGUCACCCUCGUGUGAUUAUCUUACAAUGGGAUGGUGUGCAACAUCAUCGUUGACCGUCCAAUUCGAUUUGCCACUGGAGAGGACCCAGUUUUACCCUGUGAGGGAUGUGGAUGCAUGGACUGCUUUCGACGAAUAUACCAAGCUGAUACAACGGUGUGAAAAGUUCACUGGAUAAAAAAAUCUCAGCAUGGUGAUUGGUGUUGUGAUCAAGGAUCCAGAUGGUCUCCUGCAUGUCCUCCUCCGGCCAGAGCAGGGCCCCGUCUUACAAAGAGUUACGAUCGAUCCAAUCAAUCGUAACUCUAUGGAAAUCCAUCGGUGUCAUAAUUUCUUCUACAGGAAAUUUGCAAAAUGUCCUUUGUUAACAAAUGAAAACACACCAAAUUGUCAAGAAAUCAAUGACUUUAUGGAUAUACAGUCAUAUCUAAAACAAUUUUUGAACAAACAUGCAUUUCAUAAGUUGACUUUGCUGGCUUUCCAUAGUUGCGAUGGAUCAAUCGCAACUCAUUGUAAGACGGGCCCCCGGGGGGGCCACUUACAUUGACGAGUGGAUACCAUGCGCGACCAAAAAAACACGUAAAAAGGAUGUCCUUUUCACGAUAGGGCACGUUACGUACGUAACGUGAUAAGGGUGUCAAAAACACAAAAAUAAUGAAAAAAGGGUGUCUAUUUCGCCAGGAAAAUUACGUGUUUAGGGUCGAAUUUGCGGGAAUGAUAAAACAAAAUUAAAAUGUUUUAUAAAGGAUGUCCAUUUUGCCCCAACACUUCGUGUUUAGAGUCCGAUUUGCGCGAGGUGUAGAAGGUGGGGUCGUACCUAAACCAAAUAAGGUAAAGCCGACGACCGAAGGACCCGUAACAAUAAAACAUUCCUGUACUUGUUUAGGGGUUCAUUUCAGGGAAUAUUUGCCAAGAGUGUCGUUUUGUUUCCAAUACUUGUUAAGGGUAUGGUUUCACACGCCAAUACUUGUUAAGGGGUGCAUUUUCAGAAUAUGGAAAUUACGUGUUUAGGGUGCUUUUCGAGACCCCAUGGUCGCGCAUGGUAUCCAUUCGUGAAUGGAAGUGGCCCCCCCGGGGACGGGCCCCAGGAGGACUAUACGUUACAUGACGGGAACGUUCCCGUUGAAUGCAUGCAACAGUAGCGAGUUUUUGCAAUCGAUACGGGAACGAAUUCUAUAACUUAAAAAAACUAUUGAAAAUGCACGUCAAAUCGCAAUGAACAUCUGAGAGGUCUUUGUCGAAAAUUGGCGAACCGACCGGGACAGCUGAUCGUCGUAAGAUUCGGAGCUGACGAAAAAUUGCAAAUAUGUCGCUGUCUAUAGUCCAGGACGAAACUGCUAUUUUGAUUCACCGAUUUUCGACAAAGACUGCUUUAUCAUGAAGGGCUUUUGACAACAGAUUUUUUAAGUUCUAGAAUUCGUCCCCGUCGCGAUUGCGAAAACACCCUAUUAUAGGACGAAAAUCAUGGUAAAAGCAGGUCAACCAAAUUUCGUUUACCCUCCACGCAUGUGGCAACUACACUCUUCUUCGUGAUCUUAAAAAAAUAUAUUUUAUGGCUUUACUUGCAAAAGAGAAAAGAAAAGAGGGGAUGAUGUAAAUCAUAACCUUUAUAAUACCAAAGUAAAUGCACAAAAAAAUGAAGCUUGGGGUGAAAAUUCUACCCUUUUUUUCUCUCAAUCGCUUCACUCCUGUGAUUUUUAUGAGAUUCUGAAAACACUCUACAGCACUUGUAGGUUAAAGGUAAAAAUUGCUACCGUAAUUUUUUUAAAGAAAAAUAUGAUGCUUUCAAUAUUAUGAAGGAAACCUAACUCCGCAGCAUAGCCGAUUGAAAUAGGUGGGACAGGAUAAUUUCCCAUACCGUUGUAGUAGGUCCAUGUCAAUACGUACAUGUAUAAUAUUGAAUGUGGGAUAAGACCAUAGGGUCAUAGACAACAUUAAUAAGGGGAAGAGGCAAUUGUCCCCUUCCUUCUCCAUCCCGGUCCGAGGAUUGUGCGGAAGCUUGCACUUUUCUUUUGAAAAUUUAAUUUCAAUUCACCAAUUUGUUCACAAAAUUAUCCUCCAAUUUCACCGUUGAAAUGCAAAUGCCGUGAUGGUAGCUCGAGUUCCUUGCAUUAGAGUUUCUUUUAGAAAAAUAUGACGUGUCUCUCCAUGUGUACGGCUUAGGUUUCCGCCAAAAACUUUCAUCCUUCCCCUCCGGAACUGCUUCAGGUAUUACAAAAAAUAACAAAACUAGGCAUACACUGAAAGUAAAGGGUCAAGAUGGUCAAAUCUUUAUAUUGUUACUUAUUGAUAAUUUUCUGUGUUUCCUAUUUUUAUGAUUUCGUUUUUAGUUUUACAUAUUGCGAGUAGAAUUAACGAAAAUGACAAUUGGGCCAAUCUACUUCCACCGGAUAUGCUGUGGAGUGCGGACUUAUGUUUCCUUUGUGGGCUGUUAGUGCAAUCAGGGUAUAUCAUAAAAAGUCUUGUGCAUCAUAAAAGAUAAGCUAUUGGACACUGCAAAAUACAGAAAAAGACACUACACUUCACGUUGACUUCCGAAAAUUGACCAUACCUGGCAUUUUAGGGCCAAAAUUACUGUAUCAAAUUCGUUUUUUCCUUGUUUCGAACCAGCGCAUCUCUAUUAUUUCUUAAAUUGUUUAUAAGCCUAUAAAUUCUCAAAAGCUACAGAAAUUUAUUUUUUACCCGACUAUUAACUAAAAAAAUGGGGUGCCAAUUCCGUCCAAAUGUUCUCUCCGAAUUCGGCAUUUUUAAGCUUAGUGAUACAUUUCUUGAUUGAUAAUGUUUUUUGUCAAGAAAACUUGUGUAUUAUUAUGCAACAUUAUCUUAGAAUGUUCACUUUGCCCACUUUCAUUUAUUUUUCAGACAGUACCCAUUCCACUGGUGUCAAAUCCAUUUUUGUCCAAAAGUGUCGUAUGCGAAAAAUUAAGCAAUUGGCAUAUAACAUCUAAUUUUUUUUUUUAUGAACCCCUACAAAAAUAUAUAUUAGUGAUCGUGUAUGUCUCAAAAGGUAAAAGAAAUACCAUUUUACAUGUUACAACACACACAAAAUUAAGAAGAAUUUUAUUAUUUUAAUUUUUGUGUCAAAUGAGACGGCUGUGAUACCUAUCCUGAUUGUAAAACAACCCAUAUAACCUUUAUAAAGAUAUACAACUGUUGAAUACUCCAUGUGAAUUUGGAAUGUCGUAAUUCAUAAUGCCUUUGCUAAUCUAUGUGUAUAAUGUUUUAUAAAAUAGUGAUUUGGAUCCUUGUUAUUUAUAAUGAUUAUAAUAUACAAUAUUUAUAUAGCGCUUAAUACAAAUGUUUCUAAGCGCUUCAUGUUAAUUCUCCGACUUUAUUUAAUAAACAACUCUCAUAUCAUCUCAAACCAUGACCGGUUAACAGAACUAGGCAUUAGAACCGGUUGUUGGUAAAAAUUGUAUGUUAGCUAAAAUCAAAUACAGUCAAAAUUUCAUAUGAUAAUGAUCCAUAUCACUAUUUUAUCAAGAUGAGUAAAUAAUCAUGUUACACCCUUCUUUUGGCUGAUUGUAUUUAUUCUCGUUACGGUCACUCUCACCCCCACCCCGCAUUCCCCCCCACCCCCUCUCCCCCCCCCCCAUCUUGCUCUGUAUCGCUCAAUCUUGUUCUCUUUCGCUCUCUUUCUCAAGCUCAUAAUUUUUGUGUGUUUCCAUAUACAAAACUUUGUUCUUUGUUUUCUUUUCUUUGUAUUGCUUAAUAUUUUUUCUUGUAGAGUAUCCUAUUCCCCAUCUCUCCCAUCUCCCCCCUCUCUCUCAUUCAUUUUCUUUGCUUGUCCCUAUUAAGUUGCAUUCAUGCACCAAUUACUUCGUUGUUAAUCUUCCCAACUUUCUUUCUUGACAUCAAUUAGCCUCCCCAUCACUCUUUUCGUUUCUUUAAGAACUCUCCUCUCAACACCAUUCUUAAUAAUUCAAUCAUUUUAUUUUCGACAAUUUCAAAUAACGAAAAAACGUCAUUCUUUUAUCCUUUAAAAAAAUGAUAAUUAGUUCUUCCCAUCUAACCCUUUUCACAUCCGGGCUAUCUCGAACUCGCUCCUGAUUUUUCCAGCUUCUUUCUCAAUCACAUUUAUUUUAACCCACUGAUCCUUUGUCAGACUAUCUCAUCAUCCUAUUUACCUUCUCUGUGACAACCCUUUUUUUUUCUUUUCCUUUAUUUCUUCCUCUCUAUCGUCUCCGUCUCGCUCUCCCCCUCUCUUUAUUUCUGUUCCUACUUUCCUCUCCGUCUCCAUCUUCCUUUCUCUCUCUCUUCCGCCUCUCCCUUGCAUGAAGAAAAAAGAGUGAACUUCAUGGAAUGCAAAUAAAUGAAACCCGAUCGAUCAACACAAUUCAGCAAAAAAUAAUCUUUUUUUUAAACUUUCAGUUAUCUUCAGAUUCAAAACCUCUUAUGAUGGAUGUAAGAAACAUUGUGGAAAAUAAUUUUAUCCUACCUAGACGGAGGCCCUGUAUUCUUUAGCUUUGGCAAUUUUGAUACAAUAUGCAUAUUUUUGCUUUUUUUAAUUCUUAUAUUGUGCCUCUUUGAAAUUCUCUGAUAAUUAUUCAAGAAUUCAAAUUGUAUGUAAAAAAACCAUGCAGCACAUUGUCAAAAAAUAAUCUUUAAAUUCAAAAUGCAAUCAAAAAUCAAAAUCAUUCAACAAAAUUGCAUUACAUGAAGUUCACUCUGUAAAUAAACCCCGAAAUACCUCUAUUCUUAAAUGAAUAUAAACUUGGAAUGAUGCAAAGUGGGUCAAUAAACGUUUUACCUUUAAUUUCUAUUUUGCAUUGAGCAAAAAAAAUCUUUGAAACUGACCGAAGUUGCUAUUAUUGGUGUUUAUUAUUUUGGAAAUAUAUUGAAUAAUUUAAUCUCACGAAACAGCCCAGAAAUAGCUGCCAUGUUAUUUUACAUCUCAAUUUUUUUAAAGGAGGAAAAUUUGGCGUUAGAUUUCAAUCCACUUUGCAACAUUUUACCUCGUCCUGAAUAUGGGAUGGAAGGGGGGAGGGGCAGAAUGACCCAUUGAGACUUGCACAUAAAGAAAGGAAACAAUUUUUUUAGAACCACAUAAAAAUUACCAACCAAGAGGACAUGGUGGCUAACCUGUCAUAUAAGUUUAUUUUAUUGAUUUUAAAUCCAUACAAAGGAUUCCAAUUAAAGAAAAUUAAAAAUUUUUAGCAAAUGAUCAAACAGUUACAUUAGGUAAAAAAAACAUUUUCUAAAGAGAAUAAUUGACUUUCCUUGGUGGCAAUAAGAUUUGUUGUAAUUCACCCUACCCCCCUUUCGUAUCAAUGUGCAGUUCUCAAUGGGGGAAGGGGAUCAAACCUAACCUACUGCAAGCCAAAAUCUGACAUUAUCCUUGUAAGUACUGAAUAAGAUGAAAUUCUUAUAUUUUAGCAUUUUACCAAUUUUGAAAGAAACCCUUCGCAAACUUAACAUUACCUUAAAAAUAUUUGUGUGCUUAAAAAAAGCGACAAAUGACAAACAUAAAUGCUACAGAUAUCAGAAACAAUGUCAGCUCUGGCUUGCACAUGGGGGCGGGGAGAUCACAAUAGAUAACAAAGGGGCGGGGAGAUCACAUAUAAAAAAAGAGGGGCGGGGGUCAUAAUAGAUAAAGGGGGCAGGACUAUCACAAUAAAAAAAGAAGGGCGGGAGGUCAUAAUAGAUAAAGGGGUUGGGGAUAAUCAUAAAAGAUAAGGGGGUGGGGAGAUCACAAUAGAUAAACAAGAGGGACGGGGAGAUCACCACGGAUGAAAACAGAUACUCAAAUACAAGCGAAAGACAUGAAAAUUUAUAUUCCAAGGUAUUUAUUUCAAAUUAUACGCAAAAAAAAAAUAUUAAAAAAAAAUGACCAGCAGUCGAGAAGACUCAUCCAAGUUAGAGUUACCAUAGCAACCGACCUUGAUUCAAUGAAGCAAACCCUAACACUCACAAACUGGCCAACAGCCUUAUCUGAGCCGAGGUCUUCCUGACAGAAUCACACAAUACAUGGCAGACUAACAAAGAGUCCUAUUUUUUAAGUGUGCAGAGCAGGGCACUGGACACUGCCAUGCACGGUCUACUGCAUCUUCAACGUAGGUGCUUUAUAAGUUCAAUCUCAAUGACACUUUGUGUAGUCGAGAGUAUGCAAGACAAUACCAAUUACCAUAUGAAUCAAUAUGUUAAUCUCCUUUGUAUUCUAGUUAUUCACCCUUGAACAAAGCCACCACCUCACUACCAACCCCUCCCCUCUAUUCCCCCUCUUCUCCUUACAAGUUUACCAGUUAAUCCAUUGAUUGUUCUCUCUCUCCAUACCUCCCUGUACUAUCCAUCCAAGGGAACAGUUCAUGGAGAUUUUUGUCAGUGACUUUCACCAACAGAGUUAUGAGCUAAUGAAUCACUGUAUCUGAUUGGUCAAUAGCAAAUUAGUUGGUGAUAAUCACUGACAAAUCUCAUGAAAUGCUCCCCAUAUCUGCAAAUCUUCCUUCGUUUCACAUCAUUUCAACAUUUAAAUACAUGACUGAUAUGAAAAUGUUCUAAUUUAAUUAAACCGUAUUAUGAAUAAUCAUUUUUUUAAAUUGCUAAUUAAUAAUCAAUCGUAUCAUUUCAUCAUUGUCUUUUUAAUUUUUGUUUAUUUCAUUUUUAUUGUAUUUCAUUUAUUUUUUUAUUUGAUUUCAAUCUAA